Molecule: ribosomal RNA, 2969 nt
Filed under: Salmonella enterica subsp. enterica serovar Anatum
Lineage: Bacteria; Pseudomonadati; Pseudomonadota; Gammaproteobacteria; Enterobacterales; Enterobacteriaceae
Description: bacterial LSU rRNA
Rfam family: Bacterial large subunit ribosomal RNA
Source: RNAcentral
GGGUUGUGAGGUUAAGCGACUAAGCGUACACGGUGGAUGCCCUGGCAGUCAGAGGCGAUGAAGGGCGUGCUAAUCUGCGAUAAGCGCCGGUAAGGUGAUAUGAACCGUUAUAACCGGCGAUACCCGAAUGGGGAAACCCAGUGUGAUUCGUCACACUAUCAUUAACUGAAUCCAUAGGUUAAUGAGGCGAACCGGGGGAACUGAAACAUCUAAGUACCCCGAGGAAAAGAAAUCAACCGAGAUUCCCCCAGUAGCGGCGAGCGAACGGGGAGGAGCCCAGAGCCUGAAUCAGCAUGUGUGUUAGUGGAAGCGUCUGGAAAGGCGCGCGAUACAGGGUGACAGCCCCGUACACAAAAGCGCAUGUGCUGUGAGCUCGAUGAGUAGGGCGGGACACGUGGUAUCCUGUCUGAAUAUGGGGGGACCAUCCUCCAAGGCUAAAUACUCCUGACUGACCGAUAGUGAACCAGUACCGUGAGGGAAAGGCGAAAAGAACCCCGGCGAGGGGAGUGAAAAAGAACCUGAAACCGUGUACGUACAAGCAGUGGGAGCACAGGUUUACCUGUGUGACUGCGUACCUUUUGUAUAAUGGGUCAGCGACUUAUAUUCUGUAGCAAGGUUAACCGUAUAGGGGAGCCGUAGGGAAACCGAGUCUUAACCGGGCGUUAAGUUGCAGGGUAUAGACCCGAAACCCGGUGAUCUAGCCAUGGGCAGGUUGAAGGUUGGGUAACACUAACUGGAGGACCGAACCGACUAAUGUUGAAAAAUUAGCGGAUGACCUGUGGCUGGGGGUGAAAGGCCAAUCAAACCGGGAGAUAGCUGGUUCUCCCCGAAAGCUAUUUAGGUAGCGCCUCGUGAAUUCAUCUCCGGGGGUAGAGCACUGUUUCGGCUAGGGGGCCAUCCCGGCUUACCAACCCGAUGCAAACUGCGAAUACCGGAGAAUGUUAUCACGGGAGACACACGGCGGGUGCUAACGUCCGUCGUGAAGAGGGAAACAACCCAGACCGCCAGCUAAGGUCCCAAAGUCAUGGUUAAGUGGGAAACGAUGUGGGAAGGCCCAGACAGCCAGGAUGUUGGCUUAGAAGCAGCCAUCAUUUAAAGAAAGCGUAAUAGCUCACUGGUCGAGUCGGCCUGCGCGGAAGAUGUAACGGGGCUAAACCAUGCACCGAAGCUGCGGCAGCGAACGUAUCACUUAAAGCGAUUCAGCGGGUUACGAUUGACGGAGCGAAGCGACGUCAAAGCGUAUACAAAGUCGAGUCGGUUUAAGGAUACGUUCGUUGGGUAGGGGAGCGUUCUGUAAGCCUGCGAAGGUGGCCUGUGAGGGUUGCUGGAGGUAUCAGAAGUGCGAAUGCUGACAUAAGUAACGAUAAAGCGGGUGAAAAGCCCGCUCGCCGGAAGACCAAGGGUUCCUGUCCAACGUUAAUCGGGGCAGGGUGAGUCGACCCCUAAGGCGAGGCCGAAAGGCGUAGUCGAUGGGAAACGGGUUAAUAUUCCCGUACUUGGUGUUACUGCGAAGGGGGGACGGAGAAGGCUAUGUUGGCCGGGCGACGGUUGUCCCGGUUUAAGCGUGUAGGUGUGUGUUCCAGGUAAAUCCGGUUCACUUUAACACUGAGGCGUGAUGACGAGGCACUACGGUGCUGAAGCAACAAAUGCCCUGCUUCCAGGAAAAGCCUCUAAGCAUCAGGUAACAUCAAAUCGUACCCCAAACCGACACAGGUGGUCAGGUAGAGAAUACCAAGGCGCUUGAGAGAACUCGGGUGAAGGAACUAGGCAAAAUGGUGCCGUAACUUCGGGAGAAGGCACGCUGACACGUAGGUGAAGUGAUUUACUCAUGGAGCUGAAGUCAGUCGAAGAUACCAGCUGGCUGCAACUGUUUAUUAAAAACACAGCACUGUGCAAACACGAAAGUGGACGUAUACGGUGUGACGCCUGCCCGGUGCCGGAAGGUUAAUUGAUGGGGUCAGCGCAAGCGAAGCUCCUGAUCGAAGCCCCGGUAAACGGCGGCCGUAACUAUAACGGUCCUAAGGUAGCGAAAUUCCUUGUCGGGUAAGUUCCGACCUGCACGAAUGGCGUAAUGAUGGCCAGGCUGUCUCCACCCGAGACUCAGUGAAAUUGAACUCGCUGUGAAGAUGCAGUGUACCCGCGGCAAGACGGAAAGACCCCGUGAACCUUUACUAUAGCUUGACACUGAACAUUGAGCCUUGAUGUGUAGGAUAGGUGGGAGGCUUUGAAGUGUGGACGCCAGUCUGCAUGGAGCCGACCUUGAAAUACCACCCUUUAAUGUUUGAUGUUCUAACGUGGACCCGUGAUCCGGGUUGCGGACAGUGUCUGGUGGGUAGUUUGACUGGGGCGGUCUCCUCCUAAAGAGUAACGGAGGAGCACGAAGGUUGGCUAAUCCUGGUCGGACAUCAGGAGGUUAGUGCAAUGGCAUAAGCCAGCUUGACUGCGAGCGUGACGGCGCGAGCAGUGCGAAAGCACGUCAUAGUGAUCCGGUGGUUCUGAAUGGAAAGGCCAUCGCUCAACGGAUAAAAGUACUCCCGGGGAUAACAGCUGAUACCGCCCAAGAGUUCAUAUCGACGCGGUGUUUGGCACCUCGAUGUCGGCUCAUCACAUCCUGGGGCUGAAGUAGUCCCAAGGGUAUGGCUGUUCGCCAUUUAAAGUGGUACGCGAGCUGGGUUUAGAACGUCGUGAGACAGUUCGGUCCCUAUCUGCCGUGGAGGACCGGAGUGGACGCAUCACUGGUGUUCGGGUUGUCAUGCCAAUGGCACUGCCCGGUAGCUAAAUGCGGAAGAGAUAAGUGCUGAAAGCAUCUAAGCACGAAACUUGCCCCGAGAUGAGUUCUCCCUGAGACUUAGAGUCUCCUGAAGGAACGUUGAAGACGACGACGUUGAUAGGCCGGGUGUGUAAGCGCAGCGAUGCGUUGAGCUAACCGGUACUAAUGAACCGUGAGGCUUAACCUUACAACGCCGAAG